GGUGGUGUCUUCUACUCGACCU
RNAcentral lists this non-coding RNA (22 nucleotides) under Arabidopsis thaliana (thale cress). The record is from RNAcentral. Lineage: Eukaryota; Viridiplantae; Streptophyta; Magnoliopsida; Brassicales; Brassicaceae.